GUGCUCGCUUCGGCAGCACAUAUACUAAAAUUGGAACAAUGCAGAGAAGAUUAGCACGGCCCCUGCGCGAGGAUGACACGCAAAUUCGUGAAGCGUCCCAUAUUUUU
Molecule: small nuclear RNA, 107 nt
Filed under: Suricata suricatta (meerkat)
Lineage: Eukaryota; Metazoa; Chordata; Mammalia; Carnivora; Herpestidae
Source: RNAcentral